UGUCUUUUGAGUACCUUCGUUUCCUCGGCGGGUCCGCCCGCCGAUUGGACAAUUUAAACCAUUUGCAGUUGCAAUCAGCGUCUGAAAAAACUUAAUAGUUACAACUUUCAACAACGGAUCUCUUGGUUCUGGCAUCGAUGAAGAACGCAGCGAAAUGCGAUAAGUAGUGUGAAUUGCAGAAUUCAGUGAAUCAUCGAAUCUUUGAACGCACAUUGCGCCCCUUGGUAUUCCAUGGGGCAUGCCUGUUCGAGCGUCAUUUGUACCUUCAAGCUCUGCUUGGUGUUGGGUGUUUGUCUCGCCUCUGCGCGCAGACUCGCCUCAAAACAAUUGGCAGCCGGCGUAUUGAUUUCGGAGCGCAGUACAUCUCGCGCUUUGCACUCAUAACGACGACGUCCAAAAGUACAUUUU
RNAcentral lists this ribosomal RNA (408 nucleotides) under uncultured Peyronellaea. Its description in RNAcentral is "eukaryotic LSU rRNA". The stretch from base 103 to 256 matches the Rfam family "5.8S ribosomal RNA". Lineage: Eukaryota; Fungi; Ascomycota; Dothideomycetes; Pleosporales; Didymellaceae. The record is from RNAcentral.